This 517-nucleotide ribosomal RNA is filed under the name uncultured bacterium. Its description in RNAcentral is "partial 16S ribosomal RNA". It matches the Rfam family "Bacterial small subunit ribosomal RNA", at positions 29 to 523 of the family's 1533-position model. The record is from RNAcentral.
AACGAACGCUGGCGGCGUGGAUAAGACAUGCAAGUCGAGCGAGAUUUUUUCUUGUAGCAAUACGAGGAAAAGUCUAGCGGCGAACGGGUGCUUAACACGUGGGCAACCUGCCAAGAAGUGGGGGAUAGCUCGCCGAAAGGCGAACUAAUACCGCAUAUGAUCAGAGUGGACAUCCAUUCAAAAUUAAAGUCGGGGCAACCUGACGCUUCUUGAGGGGCCCGCGGCCUAUCAGCUAGUUGGUGAGGUAACGGCCCACCAAGGCUUUGACGGGUAGCUGGUCUGAGAGGACGACCAGCCACACUGGGACUGAGACACGGCCCAGACACCUACGGGUGGCAGCAGUCGAGAAUUUUUCUCAAUGGGGGAAACCCUGAAGGAGCGACGCCGCGUGGAGGAUGAAGGUCUUCGGAUUGUAAACUCCUGUCAUUGGGGAACAAUGCGUAAAUAUUAACUGUAUUUGCGUUGAUAGUACCCGAAGAGGAAGAGACGGCUAACUCUGUGCCAGCCGCCGCCGUAA